RNAcentral lists this ribosomal RNA (492 nucleotides) under uncultured bacterium. Its description in RNAcentral is "partial 16S ribosomal RNA". It matches the Rfam family "Bacterial small subunit ribosomal RNA", at positions 29 to 507 of the family's 1533-position model. The record is from RNAcentral.
AGUGAACGCUGGCGGUAGGCCUAACACAUGCAAGUCGAACGGCAGCACAGUAAGAGCUUGCUCUUACGGGUGGCGAGUGGCGGACGGGUGAGGAAUACAUCUGAAUCUACUUUUUCGUGGGGGAUAACGUAGGGAAACUUACGCUAAUACCGCAAACGACCUACGGGUGAAAGCAGGGGAUCUUCGGACCUUGCGCGAUUGAAUGAGCCGAUGUCGGAUUAGCUAGUUGGCGGGGUAAAGGCCCACCAAGGCGACGAUCCGUAGCUGGUCUGAGAGGAUGAUCAGCCACACUGGAACUAAGACACGGUCCAGACUCCUACGGGAGGCAGCAGUGGGGAAUAUUGGACAAUGGGCGCAAGCCUGAUCCAGCCAUACCGCGUGGGUGAAGAAGGCCUUCGGGUUGUAAAGCCCUUUUGUUGGGAAAGAAAAGCAGCAGGUUAAUACCCCGCUGUUCUGACGGUACCCAAAGAAUAAGCACCGGCUAACUUCGUG